GCCACCGUAGCUCAGUGGUAGAGCACACCCUUGGUAAGGGUGAGGUCACGGGUUCGAGCCCCGUUGGUGGCU
RNAcentral lists this transfer RNA (72 nucleotides) under Phycisphaerales bacterium. RNAcentral's name for it is "tRNA-Thr". It matches the Rfam family "tRNA". Rfam says of the family: Transfer RNA (tRNA) molecules are approximately 80 nucleotides in length. Their secondary structure includes four short double-helical elements and three loops (D, anti-codon, and T loops). Lineage: Bacteria; Pseudomonadati; Planctomycetota; Phycisphaerae; Phycisphaerales. The record is from RNAcentral.